AAGAAAAUUUUCAUAUCCCUAAAAUUUCUCUUUCUUCUGCUUCAUCUUUGUCUUCUUCUUCGACAACGACAAAUGGGUGGCUUGGACAUGCGCAAAGAAGGCAUGGAGUUGGGGAGAUCUCGAUGGCUUGGACGAUUGGGUAAGCUUAACGAAGGGGCGACGACAAAUCUAGUGUGAGGUGGCUCCGUGGACUAAGUGUGUGAAGGAUUUGUUGAACGAUGGGCCUGUGGUUGUGAUGCUGAAUAUGUGAUCGAUGUUGUUGAAUCUGGGUCUGCGGCUGUGAUGUUGAAUCUGGGAUUGAUGUUGUUGAAUUUGGGUAUGUGGCUGUGUUGUUAAAUUUGGAAUUAAUGUUCUUGAACCUGGGUUUUUAGCUGAAAUGUUAAAUUUCAAUUUGAAUUGAAGAACAAAUUGAUGAUA
Long non-coding RNA from Humulus lupulus (European hop), 417 nucleotides. RefSeq lists it as uncharacterized. The transcript is spliced from 2 exons. Lineage: Eukaryota; Viridiplantae; Streptophyta; Magnoliopsida; Rosales; Cannabaceae. The record is from RefSeq and is a predicted model, not a curated record.